ACCGAAUAGGGGAGCCGAAGGGAAACCGAGUCUUAACUGGGCGUUAAGUUGCAGGGUAUAGACCCGAAACCCGGUGAUCUAGCCAUGGGCAGGUUGAAGGUUGGGUAACACUAACUGGAGGACCGAACCGACUAAUGUUGAAAAAUUAGCGGAUGACUUGUGGCUGGGGGUGAAAGGCCAAUCAAACCGGGAGAUAGCUGGUUCUCCCCGAAAGCUAUUUAGGUAGCGCCUCGUGAAUUCAUCUCCGGGGGUAGAGCACUGUUUCGGCAAGGGGGUCAUCCCGACUUACCAACCCGAUGCAAACUGCGAAUACCGGAGAAUGUUAUCACGGGAGACACACGGCGGGUGCUAACGUCCGUCGUGAAGAGGGAAACAACCCAGACCGCCAGCUAAGGUCCCAAAGUCAUGGUUAAGUGGGAAACGAUGUGGGAAGGCCCAGACAGCCAGGAUGUUGGCUUAGAAGCAGCCAUCAUUUAAAGAAAGCGUAAUAGCUCACUGGUCGAGUCGGCCUGCGCGGAAGAUGUAACGGGGCUAAACCAUGCACCGAAGCUGCGGCAGCGACGCUGAUGCGUUGUUGGGUAGGGGAGCGUUCUGUAAGCCUGUGAAGGUGUGCUGUGAGGCAUGCUGGAGGUAUCAGAAGUGCGAAUGCUGACAUAAGUAACGAUAAAGCGGGUGAAAAGCCCGCUCGCCGGAAGACCAAGGGUUCCUGUCCAACGUUAAUCGGGGCAGGGUGAGUCGACCCCUAAGGCGAGGCCGAAAGGCGUAGUCGAUGGGAAACAGGUUAAUAUUCCUGUACUUGGUGUUACUG
This 808-nucleotide ribosomal RNA is filed under the name Escherichia coli. RNAcentral's name for it is "bacterial LSU rRNA". It matches the Rfam family "Bacterial large subunit ribosomal RNA", at positions 649 to 1456 of the family's 2925-position model. Lineage: Bacteria; Pseudomonadati; Pseudomonadota; Gammaproteobacteria; Enterobacterales; Enterobacteriaceae. The record is from RNAcentral.